This 253-nucleotide ribosomal RNA is filed under the name uncultured bacterium. Its description in RNAcentral is "partial 16S ribosomal RNA". It matches the Rfam family "Bacterial small subunit ribosomal RNA", at positions 524 to 776 of the family's 1533-position model. The record is from RNAcentral.
AACGUAGGUCCCGAGCGUUAUCCGGAUUUACUGGGCGUAAAGCGUGUUCAGGCGGUCUAGCAAGUCGGGCAUGAAAUCUCUCGGCUCAACCGGGAGGGGUUGUCCGAUACUGCUGGGCUUGAGGGCAGCAGAGGGUGGUGGAAUUCCGGGUGUAGUGGUGAAAUGCGUAGAUAUCCGGAGGAACACCAGUGGCGAAGGCGGCCACCUGGGCUGUACCUGACGCUCAAACACGAAAGCUAGGGGGGCGAACGGG